AGAUGCGAUCAUAUCAGCACUAAUGCACCGGAUCUCAUCAGAACUUCGUAGUUAAGCGUGUUUGGACGAAAGAUGAUCUUCUGAAAAGUUCUGGUUUUGUACUUC
RNAcentral lists this ribosomal RNA (105 nucleotides) under Phaseolus vulgaris (common bean). The record is from RNAcentral. Lineage: Eukaryota; Viridiplantae; Streptophyta; Magnoliopsida; Fabales; Fabaceae.